Molecule: transfer RNA, 86 nt
Filed under: Phycisphaeraceae bacterium
Lineage: Bacteria; Pseudomonadati; Planctomycetota; Phycisphaerae; Phycisphaerales; Phycisphaeraceae
Also listed under: 1 other name
Description: tRNA-Leu
Rfam family: tRNA
About the family: Transfer RNA (tRNA) molecules are approximately 80 nucleotides in length. Their secondary structure includes four short double-helical elements and three loops (D, anti-codon, and T loops).
Source: RNAcentral
GGGCCUGUGGCGGAACUGGCAGACGCAGCGGACUUAAAAUCCGCUUCCCGGAAACGGGAGUGAGGGUUCGAGCCCCUCCGGGCCCA